GCCCAGGCAGGGAAGCGGGAGGAGGACUUGCAGAGCAGCAGCGAGGAUUCAGACAGUGAGGAGGAGGCGGCGCCUGCUCAGGCGAAGCCUUCAGGGAAGGCCUCCCAGGUCAGAGCCACCUCGGCCCUUGCCAAGGAGUCCCCCAGGAAAGGGGCUGCCCCAGCACCUCCUAGGAAAACAGGGCCUGCAGCCGCCCAGGUCCAGGCGGGGAAGCAGGAGGAGGACUCAGGAAGCAGCAGCGAGGAGUCAGACAGUGACAGAGAGGCACCGGCAGCCAUGAACGCAGCUCAGGUGAAGCCCUUGGGGAAAAGCCCCCAGGUGAAAUCUGCCUCCACCAUGGGCAUGGGGCCCUUGGGGAAAGGCACCGCCCCAGUGCCACCUGGGAAGGUGGGGCCUACAACCCCCUCAGCCCAGGUGGGGAAGUGGGAGGAGGAAUCAGAGAGCAGCAGUGAGGAGUCAUCAGACAGCAGUGAUGGAGAGGUGCCCACAGCUGUGGCCCCGGCUCAGGAAAAGUCCUUGGGGAAAAUCCUCCAGGCCAAACCCGCCUCCAGUCCUGCCAAGGGGCCCCCUCAGAAGGCAGGGCCUGUAGCCAUCCAGGUCAAGGCUGAAAAGCCCAUGGAAGACUCGGAGAGCAGCGAGGAGUCGUCGGACAGUGCGGACAGUGAGGAGGCACCAGCAGCCAUGACUGCAGCUCAGGCAAAACCAGCUCUGAAAAUUCCUCAGACCAAGGCCUGCCCAAAGAAAACCAAUACCACUGCAUCUGCCAAGGUUGCCCCUGUGCGAGUGGGCACGCAAGCCCCCCGGAAAGCAGGAACUGUGACUUCUCCAGCAGGCUCAUCCCCAGCUGUGGCUGGGGGCACCCAGAGACCAGCAGAGGAUUCUUCAAGCAGUGAGGAAUCAGAUAGUGAGGAAGAGAAGACAGGUCUUGCAGUAACCGUGGGACAGGCGAAGUCUGUGGGGAAAGGCCUCCAGGUGAAAGCGGCCUCAGUGCCUGUCAAGGGGUCCCUGGGGCAAGGGACUGCUCCAGUACUCCCUGGGAAGACGGGGCCUACAGUCACCCAGGUGAAAGCUGAGAUGCAGGAAGACUCUGAGAGCAGUGAGGAGGAAUCAGACAGUGAGGAGGCAGCUGCAUCUCCAGCACAGGUGAAAACCUCAGUAAAGAAAACCCAGGCCAAAGCCAACCCAGCUGCCGCCAGAGCAUCUUCAGCAAAAGGGACAAUUUCAGCCCCUGGAAAAGUUGUCACUGCAGCUGCUCAAGCCAAACAGAGGUCUCCAUCCAAGGUGAAGCCACCAGUGAGAAACCCCCAGAACAGUACCGUCUUGGCGAGGGGCCCAACAUGUGUGCCACCUGUGGGGAAGGCCGUGGCUACAGCAGUUCAGGCCCAGACAGGGCCAGAGGAGGACUCAGGGAGCAGUGAGGAGGAGUCAGACAGUGAGGAGGAGGCGGAGACGCCAGCUCAGGCGAAGCCUUCAGGGAAGACCCCCCAGAUCAGAGCUGCCUUGCCUCCUGCCAAGGAGUCCCCCAGGAAAGGGGCUGCCCCAACACCUCCUGGGAAGACAGGGCCUUCAGCUGCCCAGGCGGGGAAGCAGGAUGACUCAGGGAGCAGCAGCGAGGAGUCAGACAGUGAUGGGGAGGCACCAGCAGCUGUGACCUCUGCCCAGGUGAUUAAACCCCCUCUGAUUUUUGUCGACCCUAAUCGUAGUCCAGCUGGCCCAGCUGCUACACCCGCACAAGCCCAGGCUGCGAGCACCCCGAGGAAGGCCCGAGCCUCGGAGAGCACAGCCAGGAGCUCCUCCUCCGAGAGCGAGGAUGAGGACGUGAUCCCCGCUACACAGUGCUUGACUCCUGAUAGCAGAACCAAUGUGGUGACCAUGCCCACGGCCCACCCAAGAAUAGCCCCCAAAGCCAGCAUGGCUGGGGCCAGCAGCAGCAAGGAGUCUAGUCGGAUAUCAGAUGGCAAGAAACAGGAAGGACCAGCCACUCAGGUGUCAAAGAAGAACCCAGCUUCCCUCCCACUGACCCAGGCUGCCCUGAAGGUCCUCGCCCAGAAAGCCAGUGAAGCUCAGCCUCCUGUUGCCAAGACCCAGCCUUCAAGCGGGGUGAGCUUGGGGAGCCAGGGGAAGCAAGCCCGCGGAGCAUAGAAGGUGCAGGCGUGGCCCUGCAUCCCGGCACCAGCACUCACCUGCCCCAUGACCUCUGCACUUGGUUUGCCUCGCUGGGCCUCAGUGGCCUAAUCUGUUGACAGUGCUGUGGGAACACUCCCUGCAACAAGUCCCCAGAGCACCUCCGUCCAGGCCAAAGGGACCAACAAGCUCAGAAAACCUAAGCUUCCUGAGGUCCAGCAGGCCACCAAAGCCCCUGGGAGCUCAGAUGACAGUGAGGACAGCAGCGACAGCUCUUCAGGGAGUGAGGAAGAUGCUGAAGGGCCCCAGGGGGCCAAGUCGGCCCACACGCUGGGUGAGGGUGCCAGGGGAAAGGCAAGGGUGGGCCAGGAGGAGGGUGUUGUGUGGCCUGGUGGAGCCAUAGCUCUGGCCUCAGCUCCGUAUCUCAGACUCGUUCUGCACCUGUGGCUGAGCCUGGGCCUCAGUUUCCCCACCUGUACAACUUCAUGAGGAAGUCAAUCCAAAUGAUUUCAGAGACCUGACUUCGCUUUUUGACCACUCUCAGCUUUUUGGUAUCAGACUCCCUUCACUGGCUCCCGAAAACUCCAGGGCCAUGUUUCUGGAACAGUGGAAAGCAGGGAAAUAGAAAUGGGGCCUCAGGAAUUAGAAAUAAGGCUUUGGCAUUCAGAUGUCGCACCUAGCAUGCCGUGACUAGCAAUGAGUGUGCAAGGAGUGUUGAAGCAGUAGGAAGACUUGGGGUGAGGCGGGGCAGGGGAUGGGGGUGAGGGACCUGCAGAGAGACCAGGGCCUUCCUGAACGGCUCUGCCCUUCCCGGCUGGCAGGGGCCACCUGGGGCUACCAACAGGAUACUGUGCUUCUCCAGUAGGUCCCACCCCCUCCAGGACAGAGACCCUGGUGGAGGAGACUGCAGCAGAGUCCAGCGAGGAUGAUGUGGUGGCGCCAUCCCAGGUAACUGCAAGGGAGAGGACUGGCAGCCCACAGGCCUUAGGGUGGAGCCCCAGGCCAGGCUCCUGUCUACACAAUCCCUCAGGUCAGGGGUCUGGGUCCCCUCUCUUCACAGAGGCCUUGGGCAAGGUCCUGUCUGCGAGGCACCACAUGUGGCCCAGCCAGCAGACCACAGCUAGGCUGCCUCCCUCCCCUCAUAAAGCCCUGAGUAGCUGACCCUUGGGGUCUAUAGAAGGGAUUGACCUUGAUUCUGGGUGAUGUCCGGACAAAAACGUUCUUUAGCAGAUUUAUUUUAAGGUUACUAUCUGUAUGUGGCAAAAGCUAGUAAUUUUCCAUUUGUAUUAAUAAGAAAUUUCCUUUUUAAAUAUGCCUGUCUAGAAAGUGUAUUAAUUAAAAUAGUUCAGGAGGCACACGCCAAGGGCUGAAGUGCUGCUCUGUGCCUUGCUGUCCACGCACUCUGCACCGAUAGAGCAGGGUGAUCCUAGAGGCCCCAGGCUGCUUUCCUCACAGCAGGCCAUGACUCGGGCUGGGUUAUGGCAGUGGGGCGGGGUGGUGGCAGCCUCUUUCACAAUGGGCUUCUUCAGUCUCUCCUCUCAGGUUAUAUGACCCCUGGACUAACCCCAGCCAAUUCCCAGGCCUCAAAAGCCACUCCCAAGCUAGACUCCAGCCCCUCAGUUUCCUCUACUCUGGCCGCCAAAGAUGACCCAGAUGGCAAGCAGGAGGCAAAGCCCCAACAGGCAGCAGGCAUGUUGUCCCCUAAAACAGGUAAGUUAAGGUCUGCAGGAGGGACAUAGCAGGACACAGAGGGACAGGGCAGUGGGCCCCUUCUUGCCCUCCUGUAGCAACAGUCCUCCCAACAUGGUCCUGUCUGCCCCCAGAGCCUCUCCAAGUGAGACCUUGUGGCCUUGCAUUGGACCUGGAGAUGCUCAUCAAAAUGCAGGUGGGGCCAGGUACAGUGGCUCACGCCUAUAAUCCCAGCACUUCGGGAGGCCGAGGUGGGCAGAUUGCUCGAGCCCAGGAGUUCAAGACCAGCCUGGGCAACACAGAGAGACCCCAUCUCUAAAAUUUAUUUUAAUUAGCUGGUGUGAUGGUGCAUGUUUGUAGUCCCAAUUACCUGAGAGGCCAAGGCAGAAGAAUGACUUGAAGCCAGGAGGUUGAGGCUAUAGUGAGCCAUGAUCAUGCCAUUACACUCCAGUCUGGGUGGUACAGUGAGACCCUGUCUCAAAAAAAAAAGUACAGGUGGGCCCCAUGCCCAGAUGUCUGGCUCCCAUGGCCCUGGACAGCCUGGAAGUGGGGGUGUAUCCAGGCCUGGGUGGUGCUGAUGCACCUGGUAGGAUAGCCCUUGCCUCAGAGGAAGCUGCGUCUUUUGGCUUGUGGAGCAAGUGUUGGCUCUCUCCAACCAUCCCCAUCAACUUUUCUUCCCCGUAAACAGGCUUACGGUGUGGGGUGUGGGCCAUGGGCCUCAGAGGAUAGCUUAGACAAUAGGCUGACAGUCACGUCUGGAGGACACUCAGCACAUGCAGGAGACCCCAGGCAGUAGACUGGCCCCAGGCUGUUCUGACUUAUUGUAAAGCCUUGGAAAUCCCCUGGCCACUCUGGACCUCUGUGUCUUAACCAUACAAAACAGGAGUUGAUGUAUCCAGUCUGUGUCAAGGCAUGGCACAUGUAGAAAAUAGUCACAUUGUAUUUGGACGGCAGACUGGAUUAUUCAAGUCACCCAACCUGGGGCAUCCACUAUCCCUGACCCUACUGGAGCUAAGGGUCAAAUAUGUACCAGCUGGGCACACUUGGGACAGCUCCAGGGCUUCCCCAGCCUUGGUGUUCUGGGUGUUUGCAGAUAAGCAGCAGAAAACUGGGCCGGGCGCAGUGGCUCAUGCCUAUAAUCCCAGCACUUUGGGAGGCCAGGGCAAGCGGCUCACUUGAGGUCAGGAGUUCGAGACCAGCCUGGCCAACAUGGUGAAACCUUGUCUCUACUAAAAAUACAAAAAACUAGCCAGCAUGAUGGCAGGCGCCUGUACUCCCAGCAACUCAGGAGGCUGAGGCAGGAGAAUCGCUUGAACCUGGGAGGUAGAGGUUGCAGUGAGCCGAGAUUGCACCACCACACUCCAGUCUGGGCAACGGAGCAAAACUCUGUCUC
RNAcentral lists this small RNA (5206 nucleotides) under Pongo abelii (Sumatran orangutan). RNAcentral describes it as "retained intron". Lineage: Eukaryota; Metazoa; Chordata; Mammalia; Primates; Hominidae. The record is from RNAcentral.